Poecilia latipinna (sailfin molly) is the source of this 93-nucleotide long non-coding RNA. RefSeq lists it as uncharacterized. The transcript has 4 exons. Lineage: Eukaryota; Metazoa; Chordata; Actinopteri; Cyprinodontiformes; Poeciliidae. The record is from RefSeq and is a predicted model, not a curated record.
UUGAUAAUGAAAGACGCGCCGGUUGAACAGCCAGCACGCUAGCAAGAUUUUUCUCGCGCUACAAAGCUACCCGGCUGUAAUGGCCACUCUGGG